This is a long non-coding RNA of Oxyura jamaicensis (ruddy duck), 2538 nucleotides long. RefSeq lists it as uncharacterized. The record is from RefSeq and is a predicted model, not a curated record. Lineage: Eukaryota; Metazoa; Chordata; Aves; Anseriformes; Anatidae. The transcript has 4 exons.
GUAGCUGAUGGGGUUCCGAUGGUUCUGGCUCUGGGUCCCUGACCCGACAGAAGGUUCCAAUAGUUCCCUUUGGCUUCGGUGGGAAUUCUUUGACGGGGGGUGGGGGGAAUAGGAUGCCAGUGAAAUGGUAAGAAAUCUGACCCUGCCUGCAGUAACAAAUGCAGCUCUGUCAGCAACCUGUUUACAAAACUGUCACCAGACCCACUUAAAAACAGUGUGUGUGUCCUGGGUCUGUUUUGUAAGUGCAGUUUGGAUCUUAAGCAUGUUUUACAAAUUAGAGCUAUGCUUAUAACUGGAUUUGGGAAUAGCCAUGUGGUACACACAUUUCAUUUUUCGGUCUGGGGGAGGGAGAAUGAAUAAUUUCCAAUAAUGAAUGUGUUUAAAAGAAGUCCGGGUGUGCAUACAAACAUUUCAUGAACACAAAAAGGCAGUUUGAAAGGAUGUAUUUGCUCAGCUUUAGCGGGUCAUGACUUCGAGCACUGAAAGGCAGAACAACGCCAGCACCAUAGCCUGAGCACAGUGUGUGAAAGCAGCAUUAACAGGAAAGGGAAAUAAUUAAUUAUUAGGGAAGGAAAAUGGCUAACAGUAUAAUCAUAAUUUUAAAAUUAUCACUAGGUACUUCAAAGAUGAGAAUACAGUUACCGUGUAUGAAAAAGAUGAUUUAAGUUACUUGCCUAAGAAUCUUUGCAGCAGCAGGAGAAGAGCCUGUUCUUCCAAGGAAGCAUUUAACUGCCUUUGCUAUUAGGUCUUUUCCUGUUCCAGCAGUGCCCUGCAUAUUUUAUUCACUGCAUACCUUCCAGCUUAUGCAACAAAUGAGGAUUAACUUCAUUAUCUGUCUGAGUUAAGUCAAAUUGGAAGAAUCUCUUUCAAAGUGAUCUUGGAGCCUGACAGAUCAGGAUCUGUGAAAGACCAUGCAGGGUAAAGCACUUGGGUUGUUUAGCACCCUGCAGCAGAUCUUCCACUGCAUUGGUUGACUGCCCAAGCAGUGAGCACAGGAGACAUGAAGCACUUUGUACAGUCAAGGAUGCUUUGGAAAUCUUCACCGUGCGUGCAGUUACAAUCUAGAGAGGUUAGCCAAUGUGCUGGAUGACAACUGAAGAGAUGAAAUUGCAGCAAAGCCACUUGAACACUUAUCAAAGAAAUGGACCUGCUAAUUAAGAGGAUAAUAUUUCCUGGCACCAAGACAAAACAUACAAAGCUGAAUCUCAAGGCCUUCCUCAAGCAAACUUCUGUGGGAAUGUGGCUGUGUGAGGGCUUCAAGAACAAGCCUUUAAGUAAAACCCACUCUAAAUGAAAGCGUUAGAUCAGCAUGCUGGUUAGAAGAAAAUGUACUUCCCUCAAAUUAAGGCAUGAGUAUACCUGUUUCUUUUGUCAAAUCUCACAUUGCUUUGCAUUCCCAUUGCACUUUUUAUUGAGGCUGUUCUGUGUAUUGAUUACAGUAAUUAAUCUUUGUAUCAAUUCUGUGAGGGAAGACAUAUUUCUCCCACGUCCGUUAUGCAUUUUAACUAUUACACUAUCUACUUUACAGAUAGUAAAACUGAGGCACAAAGGUCAGAGACAGCAAAUCAAUGCCAGAGUAUAGCAGAGUCCCAUUCCUGGCUCUAUCCACAAUACACUCGUUUUUUCCUAAGUAUGCAGUAAUCUCAAACAUGCUUCUUAAAUGAGCAAAUCUUCCCAUAUGAAUGAGGGUAAUAUAUCUGUUUUAGUGAGUAUUCUGUAUUUCUAACAUCUAUGACUCCACAAACAGAAUUUAGAUCACAAUAAAGGUAAUACUAUGGCAUGCUUUUUAUAUUCACUAUAAUUGUGAGACAGUUCAGUCUGAGUACAAAAGGCAGCCUUUGGACAGCUGGAAGAAGUUUUAAAUGUUAAUAGUUGGGUAAGAGUUGGUUCUACAAUGGUAUUAUGGUCUAGUUCACAGUAACUGUUUUUUGAUACUUUGCUGGCCUCUAGAGGGAUAACUUACUUAUACACAGGCUGAAGCAGGGAUUUUAAGCAUUACUGCCUGCUCUUCAAUCUUUCUUGCCAGGUAAUUCUUUUCUGUUUUGCAAGGCUUUUAAGUAGUGAGGCUUUGUAGCUCUUUGGAAACACUUUUUUCACUUCCAUGAUUUUCUUUCUGUCUGGGCAAUAGGUAUAAGGUAUGUUUCUUCUGCUUGAAGAAAUAAGGGUAGAAGAUCCUGGCAAUAAACACCUCUCAGCCACCGAAGUGAGAAGCUCUGAGGAAAAUGUGCCAGAAGGGUGCGAGAGAAAGAAAUGCAGAAAAGAGAAUAUAACUUUUAUUUGUAAUUUAAAAGCUCCUGAAUGCUCAGAGUUCUUCUCAUAAGUCCUGUCCUGGUCAGCAAGAAGCAUAACUGUAUUGUGUAAACAAACAAACAAACAAACAAAUGAACGAUGACUUUGAAAUCCCCAGAAAGCAGCAUAUUUUCCUUGUCUUUUUCUGCUUUGUGCUUCUCUUCUUGCAUUUGCUGUGUUCUCUGCUUCGUUCCCAUACUCCACCUUUUUAUUUCUUUCAGGAUACAUGUAUUAAAUCUGAGAAAAACA